This 1536-nucleotide ribosomal RNA is filed under the name Bacteroides fragilis. RNAcentral describes it as "bacterial SSU rRNA". It matches the Rfam family "Bacterial small subunit ribosomal RNA". The record is from RNAcentral. Lineage: Bacteria; Pseudomonadati; Bacteroidota; Bacteroidia; Bacteroidales; Bacteroidaceae.
CUUUUACAAUGAAGAGUUUGAUCCUGGCUCAGGAUGAACGCUAGCUACAGGCUUAACACAUGCAAGUCGAGGGGCAUCAGGAAGAAAGCUUGCUUUCUUUGCUGGCGACCGGCGCACGGGUGAGUAACACGUAUCCAACCUGCCCUUUACUCGGGGAUAGCCUUUCGAAAGAAAGAUUAAUACCCGAUAGUAUAAUCAUUCCGCAUGGUUUGAUUAUUAAAGGAUUCCGGUAAAGGAUGGGGAUGCGUUCCAUUAGGUUGUUGGUGAGGUAACGGCCCACCAAGCCUUCGAUGGAUAGGGGUUCUGAGAGGAAGGUCCCCCACAUUGGAACUGAGACACGGUCCAAACUCCUACGGGAGGCAGCAGUGAGGAAUAUUGGUCAAUGGGCGCGAGCCUGAACCAGCCAAGUAGCGUGAAGGAUGACUGCCCUAUGGGUUGUAAACUUCUUUUAUAUUAGAAUAAAGUGCAGUAUGUAUACUGUUUUGUAUGUAUAAUAUGAAUAAGGAUCGGCUAACUCCGUGCCAGCAGCCGCGGUAAUACGGAGGAUCCGAGCGUUAUCCGGAUUUAUUGGGUUUAAAGGGAGCGUAGGUGGACUGGUAAGUCAGUUGUGAAAGUUUGCGGCUCAACCGUAAAAUUGCAGUUGAUACUGUCAGUCUUGAGUACAGUAGAGGUGGGCGGAAUUCGUGGUGUAGCGGUGAAAUGCUUAGAUAUCACGAAGAACUCCGAUUGCGAAGGCAGCUCACUGGACUGCAACUGACACUGAUGCUCGAAAGUGUGGGUAUCAAACAGGAUUAGAUACCCUGGUAGUCCACACAGUAAACGAUGAAUACUCGCUGUUUGCGAUAUACAGUAAGCGGCCAAGCGAAAGCAUUAAGUAUUCCACCUGGGGAGUACGCCGGCAACGGUGAAACUCAAAGGAAUUGACGGGGGCCCGCACAAGCGGAGGAACAUGUGGUUUAAUUCGAUGAUACGCGAGGAACCUUACCCGGGCUUAAAUUGCAGUGGAAUGAUGUGGAAACAUGUCAGUGAGCAAUCACCGCUGUGAAGGUGCUGCAUGGUUGUCGUCAGCUCGUGCCGUGAGGUGUCGGCUUAAGUGCCAUAACGAGCGCAACCCUUAUCUUCAGUUACUAACAGGUCAUGCUGAGGACUCUGGAGAGACUGCCGUCGUAAGAUGUGAGGAAGGUGGGGAUGACGUCAAAUCAGCACGGCCCUUACGUCCGGGGCUACACACGUGUUACAAUGGGGGGUACAGAAGGCAGCUACCUGGUGACAGGAUGCUAAUCCCAAAAGCCUCUCUCAGUUCGGAUCGAAGUCUGCAACCCGACUUCGUGAAGCUGGAUUCGCUAGUAAUCGCGCAUCAGCCACGGCGCGGUGAAUACGUUCCCGGGCCUUGUACACACCGCCCGUCAAGCCAUGGGAGCCGGGGGUACCUGAAGUACGUAACCGCAAGGAGCGUCCUAGGGUAAAACUGGUGACUGGGGCUAAGUCGUAACAAGGUAGCCGUACCGGAAGGUGCGGCUGGAACACCUCCUUUCU